Oncorhynchus keta (chum salmon) is the source of this 474-nucleotide long non-coding RNA. RefSeq lists it as uncharacterized. The transcript has 3 exons. The record is from RefSeq and is a predicted model, not a curated record. Lineage: Eukaryota; Metazoa; Chordata; Actinopteri; Salmoniformes; Salmonidae.
CUCCAUGGGUGAUCCUGUAGUACCUCACGGUAACAGGCUACUUAAGGCUAGGUUAGUAAAGGCUAGGCUAGUUAACGUACCAGACAGACCUGACUCUCCAUGGGUGAUCCUGUAGUACCUCACGGUAACAGGCUACUUAAGGCUAGGUUAGUAAAGGCUAGGCUAGUUAACGUACCAGACAGACCUGACUCUCCAUGGGUGAUCCUGUAGUACCUCACGGUAACAGGCUACUUAAGGCUAGGUUAGUAAAGGCUAGGCUAGUUAACGUACCAGACAGACCUGACUCUCCAUGGGUGAUCCUGUAGUACCUCACGGUAACAGGCUACUUAAGGCUAGGUUAGUAAAGGCUAGGCUAGUUAACGUACCGGACAGACCUGACUCUCCAUGGGUGAUCCUGUAGUACCUCACAGUAACAGGCUACUUAAGGCUAGGUUAGUAAAUGCUAGGCUAGUUAACGUACCGGACAGACCUGAC